This 1343-nucleotide ribosomal RNA is filed under the name uncultured bacterium. RNAcentral describes it as "16S ribosomal RNA". It matches the Rfam family "Bacterial small subunit ribosomal RNA", at positions 28 to 1378 of the family's 1533-position model. The record is from RNAcentral.
GACGAACGCUGGCGGCGUGCUUAACACAUGCAAGUCGAACGGAAAGGCCCUGCUUUUGUGGGGUGCUCGAGUGGCGAACGGGUGAGUAACACGUGAGUAACCUGCCCUUGACUUUGGGAUAACUUCAGGAAACUGGGGCUAAUACCGGAUAGGAGCUCCUGCUGCAUGGUGGGGGUUGGAAAGUUUCGGCGGUUGGGGAUGGACUCGCGGCUUAUCAGCUUGUUGGUGGGAUAGUGGCUUACCAAGGCUUUGACGGGUAGCCGGCCUGAGAGGGUGACCGGCCACAUUGGGACUGAGAUACGGCCCAGACUCCUACGGGAGGCAGCAGUGGGGAAUAUUGCACAAUGGGCGGAAGCCUGAUGCAGCAACGCCGCGUGCGGGAUGACGGCCUUCGGGUUGUAAACCGCUUUCGCCUGUGACGAAGCGUGAGUGACGGUAAUGGGUAAAGAAGCACCGGCUAACUACGUGCCAGCAGCCGCGGUGAUACGUAGGGUGCGAGCGUUGUCCGGAUUUAUUGGGCGUAAAGGGCUCGUAGGUGGUUGAUCGCGUCGGAAGUGUAAUCUUGGGGCUUAACCCUGAGCGUGCUUUCGAUACGGGUUGACUUGAGGAAGGUAGGGGAGAAUGGAAUUCCUGGUGGAGCGGUGGAAUGCGCAGAUAUCAGGAGGAACACCAGUGGCGAAGGCGGUUCUCUGGGCCUUUCCUGACGCUGAGGAGCGAAAGCGUGGGGAGCGAACAGGCUUAGAUACUCUGGUAGUCCACGCUGUAAACGGUGGGUACUAGGUGUGGGGUCCAUUCCACGGGUUCCGUGCCGUAGCUAACGCUUUAAGUACCCCGCCUGGGGAGUACGGCCGCAAGGCUAAAACUCAAAGGAAUUGACGGGGCCCCGCACAAGCGGCGGAGCAUGCGGAUUAAUUCGAUGCAACGCGUAGAACCUUACCUGGGUUUGACAUGGAUCGGGAGUGCUCAGAGAUGGGUGUGCCUCUUUUGGGGUCGGUUCACAGGUGGUGCAUGGCUGUCGUCAGCUCGUGUCGUGAGAUGUUGGGUUAAGUCCCGCAACGAGCGCAACCCUUGUUCACUGUUGCCAGCACGUUAUGGUGGGGACUCAGUGGAGACCGCCGGGGUCAACUCGGAGGAAGGUGGGGAUGACGUCAAGUCAUCAUGCCCCUUAUGUCCAGGGCUUCACGCAUGCUACAAUGGCUGGUACAGAGAGUGGCGAGCCUGUGAGGGUGAGCGAAUCUCGGAAAGCCGGUCUCAGUUCGGAUUGGGGUCUGCAACUCGACCUCAUGAAGUCGGAGUCGCUAGUAAUCGCAGAUCAGCAACGCUGCGGUGAAUACGUUCCCGGG